This 773-nucleotide ribosomal RNA is filed under the name uncultured bacterium. Its description in RNAcentral is "bacterial SSU rRNA". It matches the Rfam family "Bacterial small subunit ribosomal RNA", at positions 8 to 798 of the family's 1533-position model. The record is from RNAcentral.
AGAGUUUGAUCCUGGCUCAGGACGAACGCUGGCGGCGUGCUUAACACAUGCAAGUCGAACGGAAAGGCCCUUCGGGGUACUCGAGUGGCGAACGGGUGAGUAACACGUGGGUGAUCUGCCCUGCACUUUGGGAUAAGCCUGGGAAACUGGGUCUAAUACCGAAUAGGACCACGCGCUUCAUGGUGUGUGGUGGAAAGCUUUUGCGGUGUGGGAUGGGCCCGCGGCCUAUCAGCUUGUUGGUGGGGUAAUGGCCUACCAAGGCGACGACGGGUAGCCGGCCUGAGAGGGUGACCGGCCACACUGGGACUGAGAUACGGCCCAGACUCCUACGGGAGGCAGCAGUGGGGAAUAUUGCACAAUGGGCGCAAGCCUGAUGCAGCGACGCCGCGUGAGGGAUGACGGCCUUCGGGUUGUAAACCUCUUUCACCAGGGACGAAGCGCAAGUGACGGUACCUGGAGAAGAAGCACCGGCCAACUACGUGCCAGCAGCCGCGGUAAUACGUAGGGUGCGAGCGUUGUCCGGAAUUACUGGGCGUAAAGAGCUCGUAGGUGGUUUGUCGCGUUGUUCGUGAAAACUCACAGCUUAACUGUGGGCGUGCGGGCGAUACGGGCAGACUAGAGUACUGCAGGGGAGACUGGAAUUCCUGGUGUAGCGGUGGAAUGCGCAGAUAUCAGGAGGAACACCGGUGGCGAAGGCGGGUCUCUGGGUAGUAACUGACGCUGAGGAGCGAAAGCGUGGGGAGCGAACAGGAUUAGAUACCCCGGUAGUCCAA